CAGAUAUUAUUGAAGACCUAUACAGUCCUAGGACCGCAGCAAUGGACUUUGUGAGCGAACUGGUAAGAAAACAUGGAAAAGAGAAGCUUCAAAAGUUCAUAUUAUUUAUUGUGGAGAUUUUUAAAAGUUUGUGCACAAGAAUUGGCUUAAGCUCCUUGAACCGAGUUUCAGCAAGAUCAAAACCAUCCUUCCGGUGUUCCUGCAAUAAAAAAAACAAGUCAAAGAAGAUUUACUGAAAAGAAAAAAAGUAUUAAUGGUGUAAUUAAUGGCUAUUCACUACAGAGCGGGAGCGGAUGACAAGCCUUUGUGGAUGGUGAAAACGGUUCUUCAUGAGCUUGUAAAGCUUCGUGGGACAGUAAUAAAUGGUCAUCUUUCCAUGGUCCCAAUUGACAUGGAACCCCAACCCAUAAUCCUUGC
Molecule: non-coding RNA, 417 nt
Organism: Lactuca sativa (garden lettuce)
Lineage: Eukaryota; Viridiplantae; Streptophyta; Magnoliopsida; Asterales; Asteraceae
Source: RefSeq, a predicted model, not a curated record